RNAcentral lists this ribosomal RNA (357 nucleotides) under uncultured bacterium. RNAcentral describes it as "bacterial SSU rRNA". It matches the Rfam family "Bacterial small subunit ribosomal RNA", at positions 71 to 422 of the family's 1533-position model. The record is from RNAcentral.
ACCAUGGCUUCGGCCAUGGGGAGAGCGGCGAACGGGUGAGUAACACGUGAGCGAUCUGCCCUCGACACUGGGAUAGCCCGGGGAAACCCGGAUUAAUACCGGAUAGCCUCUCGGGUCUACGGGCCCGUGAGAAAAGAUGGCUUCGGCUUUCGGUUGAGGAGGAGCUUGCGGCGGAUUAGCUUGUUGGUGAGGUAACGGCUCACCAAGGCGACGAUCCGUAGCUGGUCUGAGAGGACGAUCAGCCACACUGGGACUGAGACACGGCCCAGACUCCUACGGGAGGCAGCAGUGGGGAAUCUUGCGCAAUGGGCGAAAGCCUGACGCAGCGACGCCGCGUGAGGGAAGAAGGCCUUCGGG